Molecule: ribosomal RNA, 253 nt
Filed under: uncultured bacterium
Lineage: Bacteria
Description: partial 16S ribosomal RNA
Rfam family: Bacterial small subunit ribosomal RNA
Source: RNAcentral
UACAGAGGUCUCAAGCGUUGUUCGGAUUCAUUGGGCGUAAAGGGUGCGUAGGUGGUUGUUUAAGUCUGUUGUGAAAGCCCCGGGCUCAACCUGGGAAUGGCAAUGGAUACUGGACAGCUAGAGGGCGGUAGAGGGUAGUGGAAUUCCCGGUGUAGCAGUGAAAUGCGUAGAGAUCGGGAGGAACACCAGUGGCGAAGGCGGCUACGUGGACCAGCACUGACACUGAAGCACGAAAGCGUGGGGAGCAAACAGG